AUGCUGGAGAAGCAAGACAUGUAGCCUUUCAAACCUGUAACCUGCAGGAAUUUAAAAAGGUUGUUUACUGAUGCGCAAUCAAUCUCUACUUCAGGAGAAGAAAUCUCUUAUUUUCUGAACGUUGAAGGCAAUAAGUAUUUAAUGCACUCAUCUUCGGGUGGUGCCAGUUGGUAAAGGGUAUACAUUCAUUUUAUACUUUAAGGUCUUACUAUGUAAAAAUGUGUUGAGUUUAUGAAACAACACGUCAAUUAUUCGAAUAAGAUUUAUGAUUUUAGCUGCCUAUGGUUAUAUUUCUUACUAGUCUGGUACAUAGCAAUUAAUCGAUACAAAGGCACUUCAAUUUCUCCAACAUGUUCACACCCGGUAUGUGGUGCCUUUUAGCAUCGCCUUCCUGGGAAGUGAAUUACUAAAAUGCUUUUUUUUUCCUGUUGCUUGCUUGCCUGAAGCCACAUCAACAGCAAAAGUCGAAUAUUCUUGUGUACAAGAUUCAGAGACUGUAUGUUUCAAAAAUCUCCAAAGAAUGCUUUGCAUGAAUCAAGUUUCUUAAACAGUACAUUUUGUGCAGGUGGCAUCUUGGUGGGACUAUGGUUACCAAACAACUGCAAUGGCAAAUCGUACAGUCAUUGUUGAUAAUAAUACCUGGAAUAACACUCAUAUCGUAACUGUAGGUACUGCUAUGUCUUCUCCAGAGAAGCCAGCUCGGGAGAUAUUCAAUUCCCUGAAUGUCAAAUAUGUUCUGGUCAUCUUUGGAGGUUUGUGGAAACAGAUGGUAAAGGCUUUGAUAUAGUCAGGGGGACUGAAAUCGGGAAGAAACAUUUCAAGCUAUCCCAUUUUGAGGAGGUGUUCACUACACAUCAUUGGAUGGUUCGUAUUUACAAAUUGAAACCCCCGAAGAAUAGGAUUCGGGUGAAGUCUAACAAGUCUAAAUCGAAUUCCAAAGCGAACUCUACUAGCAAAUCGAAAAGGAUUGGCAAUAAUACAAAAAGGAAGAACCCCUGGCGGUGAAGUAAGCAAAGCGGAAUGACCUUCCAGCAUAGUGUAAAAGGACUUGCACAUGAAUUAUUACAAGAGUGAUAGAGCAGUUGAUAGCGGGUGGAUACAUGACCGAAUACAGAGAUUACGGGUCUUAUCACACCUUCCUAAUGUAUGUUUCUUUUUGCCUAAUUUUGUUUUACAUCAUCGCAUUUUUUAUUGGUCAUGGAAACUUGAAAUCUAGUCAUUUGUCAUGCGAUGUGAUUCAUCUG
Non-coding RNA from Musa acuminata subsp. malaccensis (wild Malaysian banana), 1244 nucleotides. The record is from RefSeq and is a predicted model, not a curated record. NCBI's taxonomy places the organism in Eukaryota, Viridiplantae, Streptophyta, Magnoliopsida, Zingiberales, Musaceae.